This 255-nucleotide ribosomal RNA is filed under the name uncultured bacterium. Its description in RNAcentral is "partial 16S ribosomal RNA". It matches the Rfam family "Bacterial small subunit ribosomal RNA", at positions 524 to 776 of the family's 1533-position model. The record is from RNAcentral.
UACGAAGGGUGCUAGCGUUGUUCGGAAUCAUUGGGCGUAAAGGGCGUGUAGGCGGUUUUGUUAAGUCAUGUGUGAAAUCCCUCGGCUCAACCGGGGAACGACGCAUGAAACUGGCAAGCUAGAGUACCAAAGAGGGGGGGUGGAAUUCCCGGUGUAGCAGUGAAAUGCGUAGAGAUGCGGAGGAACACCGAUGGCGAAGGCAGCCCCCUGGGCUAACACUGACGCUGAGGCACGAAAGCGUGGGGAGCAAACAGG